CCUAUGUACAAGAAUCAAAUGGUGCAAAAAGUAAACAUAAGCAAUAGAGAUUGUUUACCCCAGGAUUGGUGAAUUGUCAUGAUAGCUUGAAGCGGGUUCAAAAUAUCAACUGUAUGGAGUUUUUACUGUCUAUUACCAUAGAUGGAUUUCCACAACAGGAGGUUGAAAGCGAAAAUGAGUGGAUGGUUAGGAAGACCAAGAUACACAAAGGAUUAGUAAU
Molecule: long non-coding RNA, 220 nt
Filed under: Nicotiana benthamiana
Lineage: Eukaryota; Viridiplantae; Streptophyta; Magnoliopsida; Solanales; Solanaceae
Description: long non-coding RNA (NBEN_LNC000599)
Source: RNAcentral